UGCAGGCCGCGUCCCAGGGGCAGGCCGGGCGUCGGGGUGCUGCCCCGCAGGACUCCCCACACGCUCGCCCGGCGCCGGGCCCCGCGUGUUGGGACUCAGGGCUGGGGCUCCCGUGUGUGCCCGGGCCUCGUCUACACCGCAGGCUGCAUCCCCGGGGACGCGUGAGCCAGGUCUGUGGUGCUUUCUCCAGGGCCUGGGGCGGCCACGGCCUGGAAUCACCCGGGAUCUGGCUCGGGUCUGAGGGCGCCCGGGGAGGCCCAGGAGCACCCACGCAGCACGGGGCAGCUCAGGUGCACGUCUGCCCACACGGAACAGCCCCCCGGCCCCGGCAGGUGGGUCCUUGGGAACCGUCCGGGUGGGAUGACAAAGGGUGCACGCGGCAGGUCGUGACCUUCACCGAGCGAGGUGCGGCUCAGGUAGUGACCCUUCUGCCCAAGAGCGGGGCCGGAGGGUGGCCGUGGGCGCUGGAGGGUCAGGGACGACUGAGCAGCCGGGGGCACAGCUGCGGGUGCAGGUGCACUUGUGGCCGGGAGGAGGCGCAGCUCAGCGGGGGGACAGGCCGCGUGCCAGGGCCCCACGGGAGCUCCACAGCGCGUCUGAGGCUCCGAGUGCAGGCGCGGGGCUGUGGCUGCUGCAGGGGGUCGGCGUCCUGCCUGCGUGCUCACGGGCUCCCGGGGACCCAGGAAGCUUUCUCCAGGGCUCCCCGGGCCAGGCGGUCACCGGCUCAGGGAAGCUCGAGGAGCCCGUGGGGAGGCCGCGGGGGACCCCGAGGGAGGGCUUGGGGCGCACGUCCGCCUGCUUGCUGCGCGCACGACGGCCGAUGCGAGCACCGUGAGGGCAGGAGGUCCCGUCCCACCAUCUCACAGGUGACCCCAGCCCGAGGAGCAGGUCCCCACUGGCCACACACAGUGUCCACUUCGGGCUCUUGCAAAAGUCACUGUUACAAAUACGUGAUUCGCGGGCUGCGUCCGGGAAGCGUAGCCCUGUACGUAUUCAUCGCAGCCGCCCUGAUGCGAGAUGAGAGAAAAUCGGCGUUCGACGUACCCCCAGGACCGUUUCCUCACAGAGAAUGAUACGGUUGAGGGGACGGAGGAAAAGGACGAAAAGCAGAAAAGGGAAAACGCCUCUCGCUCUCGCAAGGCGGCCACGCCCGGACGCAGAGCAGGAGCGAGGAGCCUGCGGACCGUCCCCACCAGCUCGGCCCCCAGGCGGCGGCCCUCGGCGCCGUUCCAGGCUGCCCCUGCGUCCCCCCGUGGGGUCUCGGGUGCACGGCCCCCCAACGGGCAGAGCGUGG
This 1294-nucleotide long non-coding RNA is filed under the name Canis lupus dingo (dingo). RNAcentral's name for it is "lncRNA (ENSCAFG00020019836.1)". Lineage: Eukaryota; Metazoa; Chordata; Mammalia; Carnivora; Canidae. The record is from RNAcentral.